This 484-nucleotide long non-coding RNA is filed under the name Ananas comosus (pineapple). RNAcentral's name for it is "long non-coding RNA (ACOM_LNC021615)". Lineage: Eukaryota; Viridiplantae; Streptophyta; Magnoliopsida; Poales; Bromeliaceae. The record is from RNAcentral.
AAUUUCAAAUCUUUUCGACAUCAUUUGCCUAAUGAUCAAAAUGUUUCAAAAUUUAUAAUUUUAAUGGUCGAUAUGAGGCGUUUUCUCGUUUAACGGUGUAAAAAUAUCCAAAUCAAUUAAAUUUUUGUUAGAAAAUUCUUUAAACUAUUUAAAACAAGAUCUAUACUCUUGAUCUUGAUUACAAGACUCCUAUCAUCAUUUUUUAAAGAAUAUUUAUUUUCAGCCGUUCAUUUUUGUGUCCACUCGAUGAAUAAGAGAAUAAUAUCGGAAAUGUAUGAAAUUUAAUUUCUAAACACUUCAAGUGGUAUAGAUCACAUACAACGGUGCCGAUCAUCGAUUUGAAGGCUCCAUCAUAAAAAACAAAUGGAUUGCAACGGAGCUUGUUUGCUAUCGAUAGUAUUCUAGCUCAACUCUAUAUAUAUAUAUAUACUUUAUAAAAUAAUAUUAAAAUUUUAAAAAAUAAAUUAAAAACAUUUAAGCGUUU